This 397-nucleotide ribosomal RNA is filed under the name uncultured bacterium. RNAcentral's name for it is "partial 16S ribosomal RNA". It matches the Rfam family "Bacterial small subunit ribosomal RNA", at positions 523 to 918 of the family's 1533-position model. The record is from RNAcentral.
AUACGUAGGGGGCGAGCGUUGUCCGGAAUGAUUGGGCGUAAAGGGCGCGUAGGCGGCCCGGUAAGUCUGGAGUGAAAGUCCUGUUUUUAAGAUGGGAAUUGCUUUGGAUACUGUCGGGCUUGAGUGCAGGAGAGGUAAGUGGAAUUCCCAGUGUAGCGGUGAAAUGCGUAGAGAUUGGGAGGAACACCAGUGGCGAAGGCGACUUACUGGACUGUAACUGACGCUGAGGCGCGAAAGUGUGGGGAGCAAACAGGAUUAGAUACCCUGGUAGUCCACGCGGUAAACGAUGAAUGCUAGGUGUUGCGGGUAUCGACUCCUGCAGUGCCGGAGUCAACACAAUAAGCAUUCCGCCUGGGGAGUACGGCCGCAAGGUUGAAACUCAAAUGAAUUGACGGGG